This 6721-nucleotide long non-coding RNA is filed under the name Toxoplasma gondii VEG. Lineage: Eukaryota; Apicomplexa; Conoidasida; Eucoccidiorida; Sarcocystidae. The record is from RNAcentral.
GCAUCUUGUGGUUUCCCGCUCCUUCUUGCACCUCCUUCUCCACCUUGGGCUCAAUGGAGGCAUCGUCUUGCUUCAAGGUUAGAGGCAGGCUCCGUGCUGAUGACGCCGGUUCGGAUCCUUCUUCUUGGAAGGUGCACUUUCCUUUGUCACGCGAUGAUGCACACUCAGCAUCCUCCAAAUAGGCUGCGCGAUCUGAGCCGUGCAAGGAAAUUUCACUUUCGUCUUUGUUUUCUUCAUCCGAGGUUUUGACCCACCGGGAAGCGUCAGAUGGUCGGUGCCUUUCACUAUGAGACAGCUCAGUGUGCUGUUCCCCUCCAGUGGUUGCCAAAUGCUCACCGUUCCAGCGAUACGGGUUCACCGAUUGUCCAAUAUGCCCGUGAUCUGCACUGUGAAUAACUGUGGAUAGAUGGCUGUGGGGCGUCGUUUCGGUAAAUCCAUCGGAUUCAGAAUUGCAAAGACUGUGUCUUAUUUCUCGAUGUUUUUUUUCCACUCGGGCGUCUGUGAUACGAGUGGCUCUACACCCGUUUAUCGCCCGACAUCCUUCCACCUCGCGGUCACUCUUAUAGACUGUUGAAGCGGCAAAGGUGCUGUCUGCUUGGGAACUUACUUUUUCACAGCCGGGGUGCAUUUUGCCUUGCGCCGCUGUGUGAAAGCCAUUGGUAGAGUUCUCCAUGUUCUUAACCUCGGGUAUUGCAUGUGCUUCAUCUGUACUUCUGAUCACUUGUGCGUCCACUUCAUGUUUCUUGUCCUCGCUAUUCUUGUGGCCACUUUCAUCAAUGUCAAAAGGGACCGUGCUUGUAGGAUAUCCACUCUCACGAGGCGGUACGACGAGGGGAACACAUCUGCUUUCCAUGUCGCUAAAAUUGUUUAAUGCCGGACAGAAAUCUACGGACUCGGUUGAGUCAGCAACUGCAUUGUUUACAGAAAGUCCUUCUCUGCCACAAAUAGCUUUCCUGUAGUGGCGUGCAUUCAUGUAGGUUGAGCAUCUGUUGCUCACACAAGAUAUGCUAGGUUCGAUCUUUUCCUCGGUAAUAAUGGAGUCAACCAGGCACGGUUUUUGUGUGUCGUGGUCUGAAUUUGUGUCACACGCUAUGCAAUGUUGGCUUGCAUUGGACGGUGCAGCAGCGUGCUUCCACGAAUCUGGCUGGUGUUCCUCGCGCAGGGUUUCGCAAAGAGAACUCUCGCUUCCCAAACGGCCUUCGUCUCCGGUGGAUUUAUCCGCCUUUCUCGUUCGUUGCCUAGAACACUUUGUUCCUUCUGUGUCCACGACCACAGUACAUAAGUCGGAUUGUAAUUGUAAGGAGUCUUCUGUGAGAAAGCGUUCACCCGCUGUUCCCCCGACGCCGUUUGUUCCGUGGUGCUUACCACGUCUCUUAUCUUUGUCAACCCCUAGCUGUUCAUGAACAGCAGGUUCAGACGCAUGCAUGAAAUUUCCAAACUGCAAGUCGCCUGGAGGUAACUUUGGCAGAAGCAGGCCCGUUUCGUCUAAACUAGCGGCCAGGUCAUGCUGUGGACUAUUCACGUUUGCUCCAGAAUUACUCUUUGACGUUGGAGCGUGAUUCCGGCAGUCAAGUCUUGCAAUCUGCGCUGCCUCCAUCCCUAUAAACAAAGCAACGCGUUGCUUCCAUUGGCGUUCUUGCUGGAAAUCAAAUUGCAUUUGAAACAGUUCCUGCUCAAAUGAUGAGUCCAGCAAUGGCGUGAGAAGCCUCCGCAGUUGUUUGUCUUCCUCUGAGUCGUAGCAUCCAUCUAAAAUGCCAUCCUGUUCAGACUCCUUUAGAGAACAAAAGACAGUGGACCCAAAGGGGUCUGCGCUCGCAGAGGUGGUGGAGAGCACGAACGACGCAACAGACUCUUGAACUCCAUCCGGUUUGUUAGUGGAACUACACGCAUCUCGAUUCUGGUGCCUUUGUGCACCCGAAUACCUUCCCAGACCCACGAAGUCCCAGGGCUGUCCAGUGAAACGGUAUCCAAAUGCUGUGGAAGACAUUGGUUCCCGCACUCUGUUUCUGAUGAGGUCACUGUGUAAACAGUCACUGGAAGCAGUAAGAACGGUGUUUGCCGCAGACACAUUCGGGGUGGGACAGCGGUCUCGGAGGUGUCCCUCUGCAGACUUUUGUCUCUCCAUCCAAGUUGGUAUCCCGAAAACGGAGGCAUCUGUCGGUGAGAAUAUUGUUCCGGCAUUCGUCUGUCCUGCAACGUCACGCAAACCAGAUGCUACAUUUUUUAAUGGUAACGCUGGGUUCCGGGCAUGGGUUCGAUUUAAACCUGUGGUCGCUAGAGGGCCUCUCUCAGACACAACUUCGAACUGCAAUGCGCGGCCUUGUGUUGACCCCUUGUAUAAGUCCCUGCUUGCGGCGUCCGGCAUCGAUGCAGAGUACCCUGCUUCUCUUUGUACAGCAGAUUCUGACCCCGACCAGCUCAUGAGUCUCUCAGUUUCAAUUUCAUUUUCCAGGGGCAGCUUUGUCAGCGAGUGACAAAGCCCUGACGGCGCGGACGUGCCAGUGGGUGCAUCAACACCCAGAGCCACGGCACUUGGCAAGUCGGAGCCUCUUUGUAGGGACGGUACGGCAGUAAGGAUGAAGGGCGAUAUGCCGUUCUCAUUGGCUGAGUCAUUGGGAGACCAAUAAUCCAUCGGACGCGGCGGUAUCAGUUGCAUGUCGCUCACCAGCUUGCCCGGUGCUGUUGAGAACAUUCUAUUGCAGGACGCCAUGGUAUGAGACAACAAUGGGUUCGCUGUUUCAUUUUUCGGGAGCGCAACAGGGAGCAGACCUCCCACCGGCGUCUGAGAUCUUAAAAUAUUAUUGCUGUCGUCUCCUUCCUCAUAAGGCAAGGAACAACUGGCAGUUGCCGGCGCAGACAAUCUGUAAAGCUCUCCGAACGCUGGCCCCGGUAGUGUCGCUGGGGGUGGCUGACUUCUUCGGGCUUCAGGUACACCAGCUUGAGAGAACUCUCUUCGAGGGUCUGACAUCUUUCCUCCAGUCACGAGUCGUUGUAAAACCUGCUCGGAAUGAGCCUGAUUCGGAGACUCUUGCUGAUGAAAACCUGACGCGGCAGCUGACAGCCGCGGUCUCAAAUCUGAGACCUCUCCAGCGGAGCGGCUAGUCGCGUUUUCUUCCGAUAUCGUUUCGUUACUAAUAUUCCGGCACGAGAAAGGCAAGUUCUGUGGAGGAGAACCAGAAAGACGAUGCCCACUCGGACAACGCCCUAGAGCCCAAUCUGAAAUCUCCCCGUCUCUGGUGUGUGUUCCCUUUGGCACGGAGGAAGAGGCCUGUGGAUCUUCUACGCUAAGCUGCUGGACUGAUGAGGCCAUCUGUUGUUUUGCUGGAGUAUGCACAUUGCUACAGCUAUACCCUGACACCACAUCAGGUUGACUGAUCAUGGCUUCCCCAAGCAGAGGGGAGUGUGGCGGAGGGUAAUGGAGAGGCCGCCCUGUUGCGGGAUAAUUGACUGAAGCUCGUGGAGAGUCACACGGCAAUCGGUGUGAUCGGAAACGCGGGAGUGGCGAUGACUCCCGGGGGGAAAUUGCGGCUGAGUCCUGUUCCAGGCACCUGGAAGCUAGCAGACACGAUGACUCGUAUCCCUGCGUCUCUUGUUGAACUACGGAGUUUUGUCCCGACUGUAAAGUGGGAAAUUGUGAUGGAACUUGAGGCGAACUAGACCAAGGCGAGGGCGGUACUGAAAUCAUGGGCGAGCAAUCGAAAGCGCUCCCGUACUCUCCGCUUUUUCCGUCCACUGGUGAUUCCUCUCGUGUGAUGCUUCGACGAAAGGAAUGCCUCGCGGUUGGCCCAGUUGAUGCCCGGGAGCUUGACGAAGUUUUAUAUCCCGAACGAGGAGCGACAGGAGACAAAAGAGAGGCAGAACCCAUUGGCGUCUUCACCUCCAUUUUGCUUUCGAACGGUGCAGGGCCGCAGGGAGUUGAGGAUGAAAGGGCCGUUGCACUCCAUGCCGACAUAGAACGAUGCGUUGGCGCAGCGAAGGGAAACAUGGAUAUAUCCGUACCACAUGUGAAUUUCUCAGCUGCGGGCUCCCAGCCUGGCACGUUGUUUCUGUACCCGCUUGAGAUCGGAUGAAGAGAGGCGCUGGCUGGUGUCCUACUACAAGUAGUGCCUCGCCCACCUUCUGCCCUGGCCUCUGACGGGCAACAGCAAUCCAUUCUCUGGAAGAGCCUGUGAGAUUAAGAACAAAACGUGGCGGAUCGAGCAACGCGUUCUCUGAACUCCAAAGUUAUCAGAUGCAGCGGCAUUUGUAGCAACUACCGGUUCUCGCUUUGUUUUUUUUUUGAAAGAGCGAACAAGCUCAAGCUCGUAGAGUGUGGCAAGUAGCAGUUGCUGACACUCGCCAGAGGUCAGACAUGUGAUCCGGGAAGGACAGUCGUUAUAUGGCCGUACGUGGAGACGUGGCAGUGUGUCUUCCAAAGUCGUACUGUGAAUCAAACAGGGAGGACAGCGUUUCCCCAGUCGUAGCAAAGGAUCCGUUGCAUAUCAUAUACAGUUCCCUGCUGUCGGACCGCAUCUGCGCCGGAGAGAAGCUGUCUGAAACUCGCAGACCAACUUGUUUAUAAACAGAUUCCAUUGAACGACAUCGCUCUAAAAGGAGCGGCAAUCUAUGUGCUAUCAUCGGUGGCGUAGCAUUCUCGGACAAGCGACGAAAUAAUUCCAUAAUCAUCAUGCCUAAUUCGCGUAUGCCAAUAUGCACAAGAACGUCUCCUAGCAUAGCGCUCACGAGCGCGCUCACCAGAGCGUCUGAAAUCACAUUCGAUUCUUCAUGGCCAGUUGCAUACCCACACAAGAAGUACAUGUAAUGGAUAUCGAGUUAACACCAGCACGCCCGCUCGGACGGUAGAUCAGCUACCCAUAUUUGCAGGCGUUCCCCCAAAGACUUCGUCCGUUCGCUGCUGAUCCCAUCCACGCAACAGGCAGCGGCAAGCAGAGUCCCUCCCGUCGCCGUCGUCUGCGAUGCAACUGGAGGACAAGGCGCCGCCGCCCUUUGUGUAUGUGCCGUCGUCGAUUCCGUUUGUUCCACUUGCGUCUUAUUUCUAGACCCUGUCGUAGCAAAUCCCUCGUUCUCCGCCUUCUCGGUCACGUCUCUGCACACGAGGUUUGAAGCGCAAGAGGCGGCUUCACGUGAUGGUGAUGAUCUUGACGGUUCAUCCCUUGCAGCCGAUUGUCCUAUUCUCGUCUUUCGGGUCUUUGUUUGUAUCGUAUCAGUGUCUGCGCGACUCGUGCAGUGGAUAGAGGUCCUGAAAAUUCCAAGACGCACCACUCUGCUCUCACAAGGUGUCCUCAGUUCUAGGUCAGUCCCUGGCGUUGGUACUGACCCCGUUUCGUCAUCCACAACGGAUGCCCUGAGAAAGGCCUCCUGGCACCGAUCUCGCUCUGCACGCCAGGCAGUCUCUUCAUCUCCUUUCGCCUGUUUAUUUGCCUCGGUUUCUUGAAUGCCAAGAAAAUCGGAAUCUGACGACACCAGCCUGCGUACCCCGAGUGCAGUCUCGUUCUCACUCGACCACUCAGGUAUUUCCCCGACUUCGUCUCCUUGACGUGUCUUCUGCUCUCCUCUCGACGUGGUGUAUUCUGGCGAAGGGCUGUGAGAAGGCUUUCCCGGACACUGCGCAUCCUGAAGAGUUUCUUCUUUCGGAUUCGCCAUAAUUGGCACGAGGACGAAGAGCAGGAGGCGCCGUUUUCUAAAGGCCCCCUCCAUGGGGUAGAGAGAGAAACGGAGAGAGCGACAGAGUGAACUACGGAGAGCACAGACGCGCCGGAAGCUACGUUUCUGGAGAGCGUUUCAUGUACAGAAAGGCGAGGGACUGGUUCAGCCCGAGCGAGUGAGCAACAUGCGCGGAAACUACGACGCGAACAAGGACCGCGUGAGUACCAGUCAGAGCAGGUCGAAAACUGAAAGUGAAGAGACGACUGAGACAAGACAAAGGAGGCGACUAGAGCCUGAAAGAUUGUCAACAUGCUCUUGUAGUACAGAUCUGAGACAUCCGCGCACUCGUAGAAAGCGACAUGUCAAAACUGAGAGAACGUCCUGCCUGGGGGAGGCGCCAGCGCUUCUGGAACAUACCUCUCUGGCGAUGCCCAGCCAGAAGGCCUGAACCGCAGAAGAAAGGAGAUUGCUUGCAGGAUGGAAGACGUCUUCUUCCGACAGCUGUAGAAAGGAUUCUUCUCUUUCUCCUCGGCUCUGCCUCCUUUCUUCACGCACCUCGUGCAGUGUGUCCUCCUCUCCUUGCUCCGGCAGUCCAGUCUCUUUGUCGGGCUUGCCGCUCUUCGUUCCUCUCUCUUCUUCUCUCCCCUCUCUUCCGUCUCUUGCAGGCUCCUCUGCCCUAACAGUCUGUGAAUCACACGCGACUUGGGUGUCGCGAGUUACUCGACUCUCGCAUCCCUCUUUCUGUGGUUCGGCGUCUGCUGCGUUUUCACCAUUAACUUUAUCUUCAUCAUUGUCACCCCUACCGAAGUCUUGACCUUCUCUCCCUUUUCCUUCCUUCUUCUGUUCCACCGUCUUGGCCUGGCCCUCACCAGGCACGGUCUGCGAAGUCUCGUGAGGCUGGGCGCUCUGGUCUCUUCUGCUGGUUUCUUCUUGUCUCAGCACUCCCAGAGCACCGGACUUUGUGCCGUCGGCUGGUCCAGGGUGGUCGAGGCGGCGAUUCUCUUCAACUGCUACGUCGGGCGAAGAAGCGGAAAACACAGCAGGCGAGGGUCCAGGGAGAAAAGAAGAUGAAAAC